GAUGAACGCUGGCGGCGUGCCUAAUACAUGCAAGUCGAGCGAACAGACGAGGAGCUUGCUCCUCUGCCGUUAGCGGCGGACGGGUGAGUAACACGUGGAUAACCUACCUAUAAGACUGGGAUAACUUCGGGAAACCGGAGCUAAUACCGGAUAAUAUAUUGAACCGCAUGGUUCAAUAGUGAAAGACGGUUUUGCUGUCACUUAUAGAUGGAUUCGCGCCGCAUUAGCUAGUUGGUAAGGUAACGGCUUACCAAGGCAACGAUGCGUAGCCGACCUGAGAGGGUGAUCGGCCACACGGGAACUGAGACACGGUCCAGACUCCUACGGGAGGCAGCAGUAGGGAAUCUGCCGCAAUGGGCGAAAGCCUGACGGAGCAACGCCGCGUGAGUGAUGAAGGUCUUCGGAUCGUAAAACUCUGUUAUUAGGGAAGAACAAAUGUGUAAGUAACUAUGCACGUCUUGACGGUACCUAAUCAGAAAGCCACGGCUAACUACGUG
RNAcentral lists this ribosomal RNA (497 nucleotides) under uncultured bacterium. Its description in RNAcentral is "partial 16S ribosomal RNA". It matches the Rfam family "Bacterial small subunit ribosomal RNA", at positions 28 to 507 of the family's 1533-position model. The record is from RNAcentral.